This is a small nucleolar RNA of Pangasianodon hypophthalmus (striped catfish), 97 nucleotides long. RefSeq annotates it as small nucleolar RNA SNORD16. The record is from RefSeq and is a predicted model, not a curated record. Lineage: Eukaryota; Metazoa; Chordata; Actinopteri; Siluriformes; Pangasiidae. The transcript has a single exon.
UGCCAUGAUGGUGUAAUUUGCGUCUGACUCUGUGAUCAGUGACAGUUGCCUGCUGUCUAAUGCUGGCGCAGAGGAUUGAGACAUCUAAGACUGAGCA